GUACGGAAGCCCUUUAGAGAUAGAGGCGUGCUCGAAAGAGAGCCGUUAACACAGGGUGCUGGCAUGGCUGUCGUCAGCUCGUGUCGUGAGAUGUUGGGUUAAGUCCCGCAACGAGCGCAACCCUUGUCAUUAGUUGCUACAUUCAGUUGGGCACUCUAAUGAGACUGCCGGUGACAAGCCGGAGGAAGGUGGGGAUGACGUCAAGUCCUCAUGGCCCUUAUAGGUGGGCUACACACGUCAUACAAUGGCCGGUACAAAGGGUUGCCAACCCGCGAGGGGGAGCUAAUCCCAUAAAGCCAGUCGUAGUCCGGAUCGUAGUCUGCAACUCGACUGCGUGAAGUCGGAAUCGCUAGUAAUCGUGGAUCAGCAUGUCACGGUGAAUACGUUCCCGGGCCUU
This 397-nucleotide ribosomal RNA is filed under the name uncultured Rhodoferax sp. RNAcentral describes it as "bacterial SSU rRNA". It matches the Rfam family "Bacterial small subunit ribosomal RNA", at positions 988 to 1382 of the family's 1533-position model. The record is from RNAcentral. Lineage: Bacteria; Pseudomonadati; Pseudomonadota; Betaproteobacteria; Burkholderiales; Comamonadaceae.